CCUACACUUGACAUCCUCAGAACUUUCUAGAGAUAGAUUGGUGCCUUCGGGAACUGAGUGACAGGUGCUGCAUGGCUGUCGUCAGCUCGUGUCGUGAGAUGUUGGGUUAAGUCCCGUAGCGAGCGCAACCCUUAUCCUUAUUUGCCAGCGGUUCGGCCGGGAACUCUAAAGAGACUGCCGAUGACAAAUCGGAGGAAGGUGGGGACGACGUCAAGUCAUCAUGGCCCUUACGUGUAGGGCUACACACGUGCUACAAUGGAUGGUACAAACGGUCGCAAUCUCGCAAGAGGGAGCCAAUCCGAGAAAACCAUUCGUAGUCCGGAUUGAGGUCUGCAACUCGACCUCAUGAAGUCGGAAUCGCUAGUAAUCGUA
This 372-nucleotide ribosomal RNA is filed under the name uncultured bacterium. RNAcentral's name for it is "bacterial SSU rRNA". It matches the Rfam family "Bacterial small subunit ribosomal RNA", at positions 974 to 1346 of the family's 1533-position model. The record is from RNAcentral.